GAGGGUAGAGCUCAGUGGUAGAGCACGUGCUUAGCAUGCAGGAGGUCCUGGGUUCCAUCCCCAGUACCUCUA
Molecule: transfer RNA, 72 nt
Filed under: Camelus bactrianus (Bactrian camel)
Lineage: Eukaryota; Metazoa; Chordata; Mammalia; Artiodactyla; Camelidae
Also listed under: 1 other name
Rfam family: tRNA
About the family: Transfer RNA (tRNA) molecules are approximately 80 nucleotides in length. Their secondary structure includes four short double-helical elements and three loops (D, anti-codon, and T loops).
Source: Rfam by way of RNAcentral